This is a long non-coding RNA of Quercus lobata, 588 nucleotides long. RefSeq lists it as uncharacterized. The transcript has 3 exons. NCBI's taxonomy places the organism in Eukaryota, Viridiplantae, Streptophyta, Magnoliopsida, Fagales, Fagaceae. The record is from RefSeq and is a predicted model, not a curated record.
UUUAUAUAAAAUAUUUUACAUUUAAAAUUUUGGUAAAAUAUUUUACAUUUGCUCUCUCCCUCAUACCCCGAUACUUAUUACUCCCUCACUCCCACAGUCACUUUCACGCUUAAACGCUCCCUCUCAGAUUUCUCUCCAAAAACCCAGCCACCUCCGGUCCCUCUCUCGCACCCAUCACCGGCUCCAAGGUUUGAGGCACCAUCAGCAAGCUCCACCCUCUGUCGGCACUGCCCAUUGCCGGCGAAACCCAGGUUCGAUUUCUACUCCUCACUGGAAAAACACCUCAAAGUUUCAGGAAGUUGCUUCAAUUCUUGUAGCAGAUGGUGUGUCAAGUGAGAAGAUAUUAAGGAACUUCUGACAAACCAGAUGUAGUUCAUAUUGUUGUAUUAUUUUUGAGCAACGGUUAGUGAUUUAUUUGUUCGAACUGCUGAUUAUCAUUUCAGCUUGGUGUAGAAAAUAAAACAUAUUUUGGGAUUUUUGAGCGUCUUAUUGUAUGUGGGAUGGUGGAUGAACGUAUGCUUAUUCUUGUGUUACACAGCAAAGCACUUGCCCAGCUUUCUGAAGACAAUCUAAUCCCAUAUUGCUACU